This 367-nucleotide ribosomal RNA is filed under the name uncultured bacterium. RNAcentral describes it as "bacterial SSU rRNA". It matches the Rfam family "Bacterial small subunit ribosomal RNA", at positions 527 to 896 of the family's 1533-position model. The record is from RNAcentral.
GGAGGGUGCAAGCGUUAUCCGGAUUUACUGGGUUUAAAGGGUGUGUAGGCGGGCUGUUAAGUCAGUGGUGAAAUCUCCGGGCUCAACCCGGAAACUGCCAUUGAUACUAUCAGUCUUGAAUAUCGUUGAGGCAGGCGGAAUAUGUCAUGUAGCGGUGAAAUGCAUAGAUAUGACAUAGAACACCAAUUGCGAAGGCAGCUUGCUAAACGAUCAUUGACGCUGAGGCACGAAAGCGUGGGGAUCAAACAGGAUUAGAUACCCUGGUAGUCCACGCCCUAAACGAUGAUUACUCGACAUACGCGAUACACAGUGUGUGUCUGAGCGAAAGCAUUAAGUAAUCCACCUGGGAAGUACGUCCGCAAGGAUG